This 196-nucleotide unclassified non-coding RNA is filed under the name Basidiomycota sp. RNAcentral's name for it is "partial contains small subunit ribosomal RNA, internal transcribed spacer 1, and 5.8S ribosomal RNA". The stretch from base 1 to 47 matches the Rfam family "Eukaryotic small subunit ribosomal RNA", at positions 1785 to 1831 of the family's 1831-position model. Lineage: Eukaryota; Fungi; Basidiomycota. The record is from RNAcentral.
AAAGUCGUAACAAGGUUUCCGUAGGUGAACCUGCGGAAGGAUCAUUAACAUUUACGUGUUCUACACGUAUACCUUUUUUACCCCCCUGAACUUUUCUACUAAUUUCUGAGUCUCCUUUUCUUUGUUUGAAAAAGCAAAGGUAAAGGUUACUUACUUUAAUUUUAUACAACUCUUAGCAACGGAUAUCUCGGUUCUC